AUCCAGUAACAUUUAUGAGAUAAAAAUAUAAAUUUUAGGGAAAAAUAGACCAUAAAUUCAAUAGAGAGAUGAAAACAGUAAGGCAAGUUUUCAAGGAAUUAAAUUAAGAUAAGCAUAUAUUCAAAAUAUACAUCGAAUAGGGUUAAAAGUAGACAAUGACUGAAAAUAUCAAAUCAUUGAUGGCAUUAAAUUUAAAUUCUCAAUAUUAACAAUGUGGAAGAAAAUGAUAGAGGGAAUUUGUGGAAGAAGGGCUUAGAAGGAAACCUGAAACAUCAACCUAGGAAGUAUGAAAUUCCUAAGAAAUUGCAGUUAGACAAAAAGCAUCAGUCAAAGACAAAAUGGAAGAAUCACUUCAUCCUAUGAAGAAAGAUGAACAUGUAGACCAGUCUCCAUUUGCACCCCAUCUCCCACCUCCAUCUGUUUUUGUGCAAUGAACCUUUUACCAUGGUCCUUCUUUUUCCUAAAAUGUUCUUUGUUUUCUCUAUUUAGCUAUUUUCAGUGUUCAGAUCACCCUGCCUUAAAAUUUUCUAAUAUCAUCGCUUGUUAAAAGUUUAUUAUAUCCAUAGCAACAUAGCACUUAUCAAAUGGUAAUAUGGUCAAGUGAUAAUUAUACAUUUAUUUAUGAUUAUUGAAUAACUAAAGGCUCUCUCAGUAGUCACAAAUUCCAGGAAAGUAGAAAUUGAGUUGUUUUACACAUUGAAUAUAGAUAGACACUACUGAUAGAGAGAGAGAGAGAGAGAGAGAGAGAGAGAGAGAGGAGAGUGGUAACAGAGGGUUAAUUUAGGGAAUUAUUUGAAGUACUUAUGAAGGCUGAGAGAUCACAGGCAAUCUGCUAGCUGGAGACCCAGGGAGGCCAGUGGAAUGGCUAAACCUCUGCUGAAAGUCCUCAGACCCAGAGAAGCAGAUGGUGUACUUCUCAUUUACAGGAUUAAGGUCUGAGAAGGCUGGAAGUCUUCUGAUAAAAGUCCCAGAGCCAUGUUCCAGGGCAGGAAAAGAGUAUCCCAGCUCCAUGAGAAAAGAGAUAGAGAAAUUUUUCCUUUCCUCAACUUUUUUUUUUUUGAUUUAUCCAGGACCCAGGACUCAGGAACCUAGACAAUUAAAUGGUACCUGCCCACAUUAAGAGCAUCUUUCCUCUCAGUCAAUGACCUCACAUGUUGAUGUCAUCUGGAAACACCCUCACAGACACAUCCAGAAAUGAGACAUUUCUAGCUCCCUACAUACCCCUUAAUCUGGUCAAGUUGAUGUCUAAAAGUAAAUGCCACAUCUAUCUAUUUAAUUCCUAACAUAUAGCUUAGUGCCCAACACACAGGAGUUGCUUUAUUAUUUAUUUUUGGAACAAUGAGUGAAUGAAGGAAUACACAAGCAAAUUUCAAAAUACCAGUCAUAUAAAAUAUGAAUUCUAUAGAUAAGAACUUGGUAGCACAUGCAAAUAUUAAAAUACCUACAAUAAAAACAUGGAAUGGCCAUGAUUAUUUCAGGUGUUUGGAAAAUAUCUUUAUUGUAAAAGGAAAAAUAAGAUUUAAAUUAUAAAAAAAGAGAAGUAUCUUUUGACUGAGAUCUGUGUACUAAGUACAGGAGACAAAAACAUUUAGAAAAUAGAAAUUUUCCUGUUUGGUGAGCCCACAAGUGAAGUGGAGAACUAGAUAUGUAACAUGAUAAUAUGUAGUCUAAUGAAUGCUAUUAUUGAAUAAAACUGUUGAUGCUCAUUCAGAGAUAUGCUAAUCUGUUUUAAAUUCAAUAUGUGUACUUUUGGAG
RNAcentral lists this long non-coding RNA (1755 nucleotides) under Heterocephalus glaber (naked mole-rat). RNAcentral describes it as "lncRNA (ENSHGLG00100037054.1)". Lineage: Eukaryota; Metazoa; Chordata; Mammalia; Rodentia; Bathyergidae. The record is from RNAcentral.